AUUGAACGCUGGCGGCAUGCCUUACACAUGCAAGUCGAGCGGCAGCACGGGGGCAACCCUGGUGGCGAGUGGCGAACGGGUGAGUAAUACAUCGGAACGUGCCCGGUAGUGGGGGAUAGCUCGGCGAAAGCCGGAUUAAUACCGCAUACGACCCACGGGUGAAAGCGGGGGAUCGCAAGACCUCGCGCUAGCGGAGCGGCCGAUGUCAGAUUAGGUUGUUGGUGGGGUAAAGGCCACCAAGCCGACGAUCUGUAGCUGGUCUGAGAGGACGACCAGCCACACUGGGACUGAGACACGGCCCAGACUCCUACGGGAGGCAGCAGUGGGGAAUUUUGGACAAUGGGCGCAAGCCUGAUCCAGCCAUGCCGCGUGCGGGAAGAAGGCCU
Molecule: ribosomal RNA, 386 nt
Filed under: uncultured bacterium
Lineage: Bacteria
Description: bacterial SSU rRNA
Rfam family: Bacterial small subunit ribosomal RNA
Source: RNAcentral